This 29-nucleotide non-coding RNA is filed under the name Cricetulus griseus (Chinese hamster). Lineage: Eukaryota; Metazoa; Chordata; Mammalia; Rodentia; Cricetidae. The record is from RNAcentral.
AAUCAUUGAGCUGUCUUGUCUUUAACCAG